CUGGAAGGAUUGACAGAUUGAGAGCUCUUUCUUGAUUCGGUGGGUGGUGGUGCAUGGCCGUUCUUAGUUGGUGGAGCGAUUUGUCUGGUUAAUUCCGAUAACGAACGAGACUCUAGCCUGCUAAAUAGGUGGCUGGUUUUAUAUGAGCCGCAAAGUUCUUUGGGUUCGCAGUCUUCGAGGGCCAGGGCGGCGGGGUUUGGUUCAGGCGGCGGGCGUACCGUUGCGUGCUUCGGUGCGUGGCGGGCCGUUCGACGUCGGGGCCGGCUCCGCCGUCCCCUCGGAGCCAGCUGCGUUCUCGCGUCAGUCACGACUCUUCUUAGAGGGACAAGCGGCGUUUAGCCGCGUGACAGUGAGCAAUAACAGGUCUGUGAUGCCCUUAGAUGUCCUGGGCCGCACGCGCGCUACACUGAAGGAAUCAGCGUGUUUUUCUCCCCCUGUCCGAGAGGACCGGGUAACCGCUGAACCUCCUUCGUGGUUGGGAUUGGGG
This 487-nucleotide ribosomal RNA is filed under the name Diaphanosoma sp. DJT-2002. RNAcentral describes it as "bacterial SSU rRNA". It matches the Rfam family "Eukaryotic small subunit ribosomal RNA", at positions 1231 to 1582 of the family's 1831-position model. Lineage: Eukaryota; Metazoa; Arthropoda; Branchiopoda; Diplostraca; Sididae. The record is from RNAcentral.